RNAcentral lists this ribosomal RNA (477 nucleotides) under Hylomyrma balzani. Its description in RNAcentral is "eukaryotic LSU rRNA". The record is from RNAcentral. Lineage: Eukaryota; Metazoa; Arthropoda; Insecta; Hymenoptera; Formicidae.
CGAACGGGGAGAUUCAUCGUCAGCGACGCUGGCUUCGCGUCGGCGGGCGAUGCCCCGCGGGGCCCUCGCGGCUCGCGCGCGGGCACGCUGCCGUGCUGCGACGUCCGGCGUUCGUCGUCGUGCACUUCUCCCCUAGUAGAACGUCGCGACCCGCUGGGUGUCGGUCUACGGCCCGGGUGCGGUGCCUGACGCGUCGCCGGUAAAACGGCACGCGUCAAACCCCCGGUCGCCCGGCCGGCUGCCCGGCGGUACGCGCAAGGUAUCAGGCCGCACCACGUCAAAGUGCGUCGAGACCGUCGCAAGCGCGCGCCAUGGUUACACGGAGGUAUACGGACCUAGUGCCGUCACCGGUCCUGGCCCGCUGUUGGUCGUACGGUUAACCUUCGACAGGCCUGCCAACGUCCCAAUGGGGGGUCAAAGCCCCGGCGGGACCGAUACCGGUCGGCGACGCUACUGCUUUGGGUACUCUUAGGACCC